UGAGGUAGUAGAUUGAAU
This 18-nucleotide non-coding RNA is filed under the name Oryzias latipes (Japanese medaka). Its record names the gene ola-let-7e. The record is from miRBase by way of RNAcentral. Lineage: Eukaryota; Metazoa; Chordata; Actinopteri; Beloniformes; Adrianichthyidae. RNAcentral also lists the same sequence under 1 other name.